UCCAGUGUAGUGUAAUGGUUAGAUCACUGUUCUCACUAUUAUGAGAAUAUAGGUUCAACUGGUCAGGAGUUCGAUUCUCCUCACUGGCU
Molecule: non-coding RNA, 89 nt
Organism: Tephrocybe rancida
Lineage: Eukaryota; Fungi; Basidiomycota; Agaricomycetes; Agaricales; Lyophyllaceae
Source: the annotation of a GenBank genome assembly